RNAcentral lists this ribosomal RNA (500 nucleotides) under Limosilactobacillus fermentum. Its description in RNAcentral is "bacterial SSU rRNA". It matches the Rfam family "Bacterial small subunit ribosomal RNA", at positions 61 to 539 of the family's 1533-position model. The record is from RNAcentral. Lineage: Bacteria; Bacillati; Bacillota; Bacilli; Lactobacillales; Lactobacillaceae.
AUUGAUGGUGCUUGCACCUGAUUGAUUUUGGUCGCCAACGAGUGGCGGACGGGUGAGUAACACGUAGGUAACCUGCCCAGAAGCGGGGGACAACAUUUGGAAACAGAUGCUAAUACCGCAUAACAACGUUGUUCGCAUGAACAACGCUUAAAAGAUGGCUUCUCGCUAUCACUUCUGGAUGGACCUGCGGUGCAUUAGCUUGUUGGUGGGGUAAUGGCCUACCAAGGCGAUGAUGCAUAGCCGAGUUGAGAGACUGAUCGGCCACAAUGGGACUGAGACACGGCCCAUACUCCUACGGGAGGCAGCAGUAGGGAAUCUUCCACAAUGGGCGCAAGCCUGAUGGAGCAACACCGCGUGAGUGAAGAAGGGUUUCGGCUCGUAAAGCUCUGUUGUUAAAGAAGAACACGUAUGAGAGUAACUGUUCAUACGUUGACGGUAUUUAACCAGAAAGUCACGGCUAACUACGUGCCAGCAGCCGCGGUAAUACGUAGGUGGCAAGC